This 497-nucleotide ribosomal RNA is filed under the name uncultured bacterium. Its description in RNAcentral is "partial 16S ribosomal RNA". It matches the Rfam family "Bacterial small subunit ribosomal RNA", at positions 28 to 507 of the family's 1533-position model. The record is from RNAcentral.
GAUGAACGCUGGCGGCGUGCCUAAUACAUGCAAGUCGAGCGAACGGACGAGAAGCUUGCUUCUCUGAUGUUAGCGGCGGACGGGUGAGUAACACGUGGAUAACCUACCUAUAAGACUGGGAUAACUUCGGGAAACCGUAGCUAAUACCGGAUAAUAUUUUGAACCGCAUGGUUCAAAAGUGAAAGACGGUCUUGCUGUCACUUAUAGAUGGAUCCGCGCUGCAUUAGCUAGUUGGUAAGGUAACGGCUUACCAAGGCAACGAUGCAUAGCCGACCUGAGAGGGUGAUGGGCCACACUGGAACGGAGACACGGUCCAGACUCCUACGGGAGGCAGCAGCAGGGAAUGUUCCGCAAUGGGCGAAAGCCUGAAGGAGCAACGAAGCGUGAGUGAUGAAGGUCUUCGGAUCGUAAAACUCUGUUAUUAGGGAAGAACAUAUGUGUAAGUAACUGUGCACAUCUUGACGGUACCUAAUCAGAAAGCCACGGCUAACUACGUG